This 131-nucleotide small nucleolar RNA is filed under the name Dasypus novemcinctus (nine-banded armadillo). The record is from RNAcentral. Lineage: Eukaryota; Metazoa; Chordata; Mammalia; Cingulata; Dasypodidae.
GAUGCGGUCUGUCCUGAUAGGCUCUUUUCGUAAACCCACAUUAUUGGUAACACUUCACAGAGGAAUGUUGAUGUUUGACUUUACUUAUAGAACUAUUUGAUAAGUCUGUGAGAAUGAACUACAAGGUCAUU